UGGGGAAUAUUGCACAAUGGAGGGAACUCUGAUGCAGCAACGCCGCGUGAAGGAAGAAGGUCUUCGGAUCGUAAACUUCUGUCCAAAAGGAAGAAGGAAGUGACGGUACUUUUGGAGGAAGCCCCGGCUAACUACGUGCCAGCAGCCGCGGUAAUACGUAGGGGGCAAGCGUUAUCCGGAAUUAUUGGGCGUAAAGAGUGCGUAGGUGGUCACUUAAGCGCAGGGUUUAAGGCAAUGGCUCAACCAUUGUAUGCCCUGCGAACUGGGCGACUUGAGUGCAGGAGAGGAAAGUGGAAUUCCUAGUGUAGCGGUGAAAUGCGUAGAUAUUAGGAGGAACACCGGUGGCGAAGGCGACUUUCUGGACUGAAACUGACACUGAGGCACGAAAGCGUGGGGAGCAAACAGGAUUAGAUACCCUGGUAGUCCACGCCGUAAACGAUGAGCACCAGGUGUCGGGGUCGCAAGACCUCGGUGCCGCAGUUAACGCAUUAAGUGCUCCGCCUGGGGAGUACGUUCGCAAGAAUA
This 525-nucleotide ribosomal RNA is filed under the name uncultured bacterium. RNAcentral describes it as "bacterial SSU rRNA". It matches the Rfam family "Bacterial small subunit ribosomal RNA", at positions 355 to 896 of the family's 1533-position model. The record is from RNAcentral.